UGUGUCUCCAUCCGUCGAUUGAAACAAAAUGAUAUCAAGAAAUCCAUUGCUUUUAUCAUUAUACGUAUGUAGGUCUAGUUUUCAUUGAACAAACCAUCAAUCUUCAACAAGUUACAUAAUUUUACUGCAAUUUUCUCCCAAUUUUAUAAUGAAUCAAAGUAUUGUUAUCUUCUUUAACCACUUCAUCCAAAAGGAUGCACCUUUUAGCCAUUGCCAGAAAAGUCAUGGUCCCUUUGACAUGGUGCAGCUUCAGCUUACCAGUACCAGAAAGGCCACGCCCCUUUGACAUGGGGCAAGGGUGUGGAGGUCGAGUAUCAGGUUAGAAGGCACAGGUACCCCAGCUCAUUCACAUCAUAGAUAGGAGCCUGGUCAUACAGCUAUUGUUGGUGAGCUCCAGUUUGCUUCGAAGCUUUUCGAGUCGGUUUCUUAUGUUUUGCUAUUGUACAGGAGUCACGUGUGGGCGGGGGGGUGUCCCGACCCUAGUUAUGUCAUGUAUAUCCUAGAGGCUUUGUAGACAUAAGGAAGGGUAAAGUCAUGGAAGUUUAUAUAGUGAUGUUAUAUUUGUA
Long non-coding RNA from Capsicum annuum, 566 nucleotides. RefSeq lists it as uncharacterized. The record is from RefSeq and is a predicted model, not a curated record. The transcript is spliced from 2 exons. Lineage: Eukaryota; Viridiplantae; Streptophyta; Magnoliopsida; Solanales; Solanaceae.